RNAcentral lists this long non-coding RNA (521 nucleotides) under Bos indicus x Bos taurus (hybrid cattle). RNAcentral describes it as "lncRNA (ENSBIXG00000010004.1)". The record is from RNAcentral. Lineage: Eukaryota; Metazoa; Chordata; Mammalia; Artiodactyla; Bovidae.
AUGCGAACAAAGAAAAAGCAGAGAUGCAAAGACACCAUGAUGGAAUUUAAGAACUUCCCUGGAUUGCAUUGUCCCCAGGCACCUCUUGCCCUGCUCUGUGAUAACUUGCUGGGUCCUAAGGAAGAAAGAAGUCUGCAGCUGUGACGGGAGUGGCCCUCGUGCCUUCCAGGACUCUGCAGGCUGCUGUGCUGUGAACGUCACCCGUGCUGGGGACACAGCUGGUGGCCAGGCACUCGUGCUCUGUCUCUGUGCUCUCAGCAUCACUUCAGUCUUCUCAGUCUCUGAACAGGAAUGUUGUGGAGAAGCACUUGCCUCAGUGUAGUUCAUCUGUGUUGUUCUGUGUCCUGAGGACCCGCUGCUGCUCCAGUGAACACUUUAAACAUCUCUGUUCUCCUUCCAAGUUCUCAAGCUGCUGCUGACUUUCAACUCCAAGUGUCCAGUGUUUUGGGCUUUUCUCAAAUGAGAUUCCUGAACCAGGUGAGUUCCUCCUAGUGCAACCAGCACAUGGAUUAGCCUAGGUA